Molecule: ribosomal RNA, 439 nt
Filed under: uncultured bacterium
Lineage: Bacteria
Description: partial 16S ribosomal RNA
Rfam family: Bacterial small subunit ribosomal RNA
Source: RNAcentral
CUACGGGAGGCUGCAGUGGGGAAUAUUGCACAAUGGAGGAAACUCUGAUGCAGCAACGCCGCGUGGAGGAUGACACAUUUCGGUGCGUAAACUCCUUUUAUAUGAGAAGAUAAUGACGGUAUCAUAUGAAUAAGCACCGGCUAACUCCGUGCCAGCAGCCGCGGUAAUACGGGGGGUGCAAGCGUUACUCGGAAUCACUGGGCGUAAAGAGCAUGUAGGCGGAUAGAAAAGUUGGAAGUGAAAUCCUGUGGCUUAACCAUAGAACUGCUUCCAAAACUCUCUAUCUAGAAUAUGGGAGAGGUAGAUGGAAUUUCUGGUGUAGGGGUAAAAUCCGUAGAGAUCAGAAGGAAUACCGAUUGCGAAGGCGAUCUACUGGAACAUUAUUGACACUGAGAUGCGAAAGCGUGGGGAGCAAACAGGAUUAGAUACCCUUGUAGUC